GAUUCUACAAAUAAAAUAGUUCUCAAAGUUUUUAUGGUUUCCUGACAAUCUAUCGAGGUAUAAAAGGUUGGAGGUGGUUCUAGGCUUGUACGCAUAAUUCAUCUGACCAAGGAAGAACUCGGUUGCUUCUUGUUGUUCUUCAAUCCAUUCAACUAGGAACAAGUUUCUAUCUAAAUUUCGGUAACAUGAUGAAAAUUAUUCUUGCACUGGCUGUCCUUGUAGCUGUUUUCAGCAUGGAGAUCUUAGCCGCUAGUUUACAGAAUCAACAAAUUCAUGAAGAAACACCAGCAGAAGAGAGGACAUUUGGCCUGCUGGCGUUAUUUGCAAUUUGGCCUGCUAUUAAAGGCUUUUUCAAAAGCAUCUUUGCUCCCGCUGCUGUUACCUACUAGAUGAUGUUGCAAGAGAAGUCUCAACUUGCACAUUUUGAUCGAGUAGUAAGCAAGAUUUUCACAAUGUAAAUAACAUGUCACAUCCGAAUUAAGGUGUUGAUUCACGGGUGUUUCGGGUACCUUCACUGCCAUUCAGUGUGCUGGGCGCAAAUACAAUGAGCAAUUUUCUACAAAAA
Long non-coding RNA from Daphnia carinata, 565 nucleotides. RefSeq lists it as uncharacterized. The record is from RefSeq and is a predicted model, not a curated record. The transcript is spliced from 2 exons. NCBI's taxonomy places the organism in Eukaryota, Metazoa, Arthropoda, Branchiopoda, Diplostraca, Daphniidae.